UUCCAAUUUGUGAAUUCUUCUUUUCUGAUUUUCUGCGAUCAAUCUCAGUGCAAUUUCGUCUCCGACUCCUUUUGGGUAACUUUUUUUUUCUGUUGUUUUCAUUCUAGGUUUCUUUUCUUUUUCAGUUCCGGCCAUCUGAUUCAAUUACAUCCAUCCAAAUCAGUUUCUUUCAAUUCAAGUUUGAAUUUCAUUUUGUAGACUCCAAUUCUGUUUUUCAUUCAAUGUGUAUUUCGUUGAAUUGUAUUUUAUAAACUACAAUUCCUAUUUUGUUCUCUUUAUUCCAGGAAUUUCUUGAUAGUUGUUUUUUAUUCGAUUGUAUUUCAUAACCUACAACUUCUGAUCUGUUCUUUUUAUUCCAGCAAUCACUCAUUACCUGUUGUAAACCAGAUUUCUCAUUCUUUCAUGUUUAACUUCUUGAUAGUUCUUUUCUGUUAAUUCUGUUUUAUAAUUUCCAAAAUUUCAAUUCUACUGUAUUCAACUCUAAUCAAAUACUUUUUUUACAUUAAGCCCGUUUUGUUUACUUUUCAAAAGAAAAUUCUGCAUCAUGCAUUGAUAUUCUUCUUGACUUGGGCUAUCUUAAAAUCUUUAGAUAUCUGGAUUCUUCACAACAACGUCCUUCUUAUCCACCGGUUUCUUGAUGUAAGGUAGGAGAGAAAUUCCUCAUAGGUGAAUGAGGACUUGCGUCUUCCAGGCGAAAAAAUUCAUCCGAUCAAGUUUUACAUGUUCUUCAACUUGAUUAGUUGCUUCGCCGGAAUCGAUGUUGGUGUAGGAUUCGUAUUCCCAACCAUUACCGGAAAAUAGAAGAGAGAAAACGAAACCGUCGAGGUUCGUUGCUGAAGCUUGGAGAGAGAAAAAAACUUGUUGGGUAUACACCUAAUUACACAAAAGUGAUCUAAAUAUCUGAAGUUGAAAUGGAUUUGAAAAUUGAUUAAUUAUAGGUACAGUGGUUCUUGAUUAUUGAGGUACAGGGAUUAAUGGAACAACUCUGUUGAUCGAUAUGUUUCUAAUUGAACCCAAAUGUGGAGAAUUGAGGUCCAUUUCCGU
RNAcentral lists this long non-coding RNA (1044 nucleotides) under Zostera marina. Its description in RNAcentral is "long non-coding RNA (ZMAR_LNC005751)". The record is from RNAcentral. Lineage: Eukaryota; Viridiplantae; Streptophyta; Magnoliopsida; Alismatales; Zosteraceae.